CUCUUUGUUUGAUUUCAACUUUUAUCUGAUCAUCUGGCUGUGUAGUUGGGACUGGGAAGUGCCCUUCAAACUUUGUGUGGACAAGCUUUUGGAGCUCAACGAUAUAGCAUGCUAGGAAUAUACCUCCAACGCUCAUGGAUCGUUGUUACCAGUUUUGUAGUGAUAUUUCUGCCUGUAUAUAUAUUUGCUUCCCCUAUUCUCAAGUUGUUGGGGCAAGGAGAUGAUAUAGCUGAACUAACAGGCAAAGUGGCCAUCUGGUGCAUUCCCAUGCAUUUCUCUCUGGUUCUUUGGUGGACAACUACCUGGUAUCUCCAGGCCCAAUUAAAAAACAUGGUCAUUGCCUACAUAGCAAGCGUGGCUCUAAUACUCCAAUGUUUUGAUGAGUUGGGUAUUUACUGUGAAGAUGGGUUGGGGCCUUGUAGGUGCAGUUGCAUCAAUGAACUUAGCAUGGUGUUUCCCCUUAGUUACCCUAUUUCUUUAUAUUAUCUGUGGUGGGUGUCCCCUUACAUGGAAAGGAUUUUCUUUGGAUGCAUUCUCUCAACUUUGGCCCUAUCUAAAAUUGCCAGUGAGUUCAGGAGUCAUGAUAUGCUAAACUUCCACAUUUCUGAUUAUGGUAAGAUGGUUUUGGGCCCUUUUACUUCCUAAUGCUACCCAAUUUUAACUAAUGCCUUGUCUUUCUUGAACAGGGUUGAGAUAUGGUAUCUAAGAUUGAUAUUACUACUCACAUUCAAGCUCAAAAACCUCGAAGUAGCAGAUGACUCACUUUCUAUUUGUAUGACUAUAAAUGGAUAGGAGUUUAUGAUACCCAUAGCCUUUCUUGUUGGCACCAGUGUGAGGGUGUCAAAUGAACUCGGAGCUGGAAACGGCAAGGCAACCAAAUUUUCUGCAGUUGUCUCAGCAACAACUUCUCUUUUGAUAGGGAUUCUAAUUUUAAUCCUCCUCGUUAUCUUCCACGAUAGUUUUGCUUCUCUAUUCACACAAAGCGCCACCAUCCAGCAAGUUGUUUCAAAACUGACACUCUUAUUAGCAUUCACCAUUCUUCUCAACAAUGUGCAACCAGUUCUC
Long non-coding RNA from Cryptomeria japonica (Japanese cedar), 1065 nucleotides. RefSeq lists it as uncharacterized. Lineage: Eukaryota; Viridiplantae; Streptophyta; Pinopsida; Cupressales; Cupressaceae. The transcript is spliced from 3 exons. The record is from RefSeq and is a predicted model, not a curated record.